ACCCUCAGCGAGGGCACUAUUACGAUGGUGCGCAAUGGGCGAAAGCCUGACGGAGGGAUACCGAAGACAUUACGAAGCCCAUCGGUUUGUAAACUUGUGAACUGGGGACGAUUACCCCGGUGACCAGGUAAUAGCACCGGCUAACUCAGCGCCAGCAGCAGCGGUAAUGCGGAGGGUGUCGAGCGUUACCUGGAUUUAAUGGGUGUAAAGGGCGUGUAGGCGGUCUCAUAAGUCAGAUGCUAAAGCCAUAGGCUCAACCUUGGGAAUGCGUUGGCAUACUGUGAGGCUAGACGGUCGGAGAGGGUAGCGGAAUUUCCGGAGUAGCGGUGAAAUGCGCAGAUACGAGCAGGAGCGCCAAUAGCGAAAGCAGCUACAUGGACGAUUGUGACGCAGAGGCGCGAGAGCAGUGGGGAGCAAACUGGAUUAGAUAUCCGGGUAGUCCACGCCAUCAACUUUGAGUGUUGGGUGUCUGACAUCGUGGGUGCCGUAGCUAACGCGAU
RNAcentral lists this ribosomal RNA (500 nucleotides) under uncultured bacterium. RNAcentral's name for it is "bacterial SSU rRNA". It matches the Rfam family "Bacterial small subunit ribosomal RNA", at positions 335 to 861 of the family's 1533-position model. The record is from RNAcentral.